Molecule: ribosomal RNA, 677 nt
Filed under: uncultured archaeon
Lineage: Archaea
Description: bacterial SSU rRNA
Rfam family: Archaeal small subunit ribosomal RNA
Source: RNAcentral
CCCUAUGGGGUGCAGCAGGCGAGAAACCUUUGCAAUGUGCGCAAGCACGACAAGGUUAAUCCGAGUGUUUCCUGCUAAAGGAAUCUUUUGCUAGUUGUAAAAUCACUAAUGAAUAAGGGGUGGGCAAGUUCUGGUGUCAGCCGCCGCGGUAAAACCAGCACCUCAAGUGGUCAGGAUGAUUAUUGGGCCUAAAGCAUCCGUAGCCUGUUCUGUAAGUUUUCGGUUAAAUCCAUUAGCUCAACUAAUGGGCUGCCGAAAAUACUGCAGAACUAGGGAGUGGGAGAGGUAGACGGUACUCGGUAGGAAGGGGUAAAAUCCUUUGAUCUAUUGAUGACCACCUGUGGCGAAGGCGGUCUACCAGAACACGUUCGACGGUGAGGGAUGAAAGCUGAGGGAGCAAACCGGAUUAGAUACCCGGGUAGUCCCAGCUGUAAACGAUGCAGACUCGGUGAUGCCCUGGCUUGUGGCCAGUGCAGUGCCGCAGGGAAGCCGUUAAGUUUGCCGCCUGGGAAGUACGUACGCAAGUAUGAAACUUAAAGGAAUUGGCGGGGGAGCACCACAAGGGGUGAAGCCUGCGGUUCAAUUGGAGUCAACGCCAGAAAUCUUACCCGAAGAGACAGCAGAAUGAAGGUCAAGCUGGAGACUUUACCAGACAAGCUGAGAAGAGGUGCAUGGCC